Molecule: ribosomal RNA, 301 nt
Filed under: uncultured bacterium
Lineage: Bacteria
Description: partial 16S ribosomal RNA
Rfam family: Bacterial small subunit ribosomal RNA
Source: RNAcentral
CAGUAGCCACGGUAAUACGGAGGGUGCAAGCGUUAAUCGGAAUUACUGGGCGUAAAGCGCACGCAGGCGGUCUGACAAGUCAGAUGUGAAAUCCCCGGGCUUAACCUGGGAACUGCAUUUGAAACUGUCAGGCUGGAGUCUUGUAGAGGGGGGUGGAAUUCCAGGUGUAGCGGUGAAAUGCGUAGAGAUCUGGAGGAAUACCGGUGGCGAAGGCGGCCCCCUGGACAAAGACUGACGCUCAGGUGCGAAAGCGUGGGGAGCAAACAGGAUUAGAUACCCGCGUAGUCCCUGUCUCUUAACC